This 270-nucleotide long non-coding RNA is filed under the name Capsella rubella. Its description in RNAcentral is "long non-coding RNA (CRUB_LNC003759)". The record is from RNAcentral. Lineage: Eukaryota; Viridiplantae; Streptophyta; Magnoliopsida; Brassicales; Brassicaceae.
UCAAUAUCAGUUCAUAUCCAAAUUGCUAACUAGAGGUUUUUGCUCCAACAUGGUGUCCACUGUCCACUAACAUACUAUUAGCUAAAAAUUAACUAUGCAUUGGGUCGUCUUUUAGCUUCAAAAUGUAAUGAUUCAUAUUCCACAAGAGUCUUACUCAAAGCCUCAAAAUAAAGCACAUCUUUCCAAAAUUAUGCAUGAAUUAUUUCGACAAAAAAAAAAAAAAUUUGUAUCCUGGUAAGAAUAGGAUCGACAAUCGAAAAAAAUUUACCC